UACGGAGGGGGCUAGCGUUGUUCGGAAUUACUGGGCGUAAAGCGCGCGUAGGCGGCUUUGUAAGUUAGAGGUGAAAGCCCGGAGCUCAACUCCGGAACUGCCUUUAAGACUGCAUCGCUAGAAUUGUGGAGAGGUAAGUGGAAUUCCGAGUGUAGAGGUGAAAUUCGUAGAUAUUACGGAAGAACACCAGUGCGAAGGCGACUUACUGGACACAUAUUGACGCUGAGGUGCGAAAGCGUGGGGAGCAAACAGG
Molecule: ribosomal RNA, 253 nt
Filed under: uncultured bacterium
Lineage: Bacteria
Description: partial 16S ribosomal RNA
Rfam family: Bacterial small subunit ribosomal RNA
Source: RNAcentral